UCGAGUCUCCGCCCCACAAGCCAAAAUCUCCGCCACGGGAGCCGCCGACCAUGCGUCUGCUUUCGAUUUCGGGCGCCCGCCCCCGCCGUGCGGGGCUGCAAUACACGGCGGGCUCCCGCCUCCAAGGGGAACGGGGACCGGGCGGUUUCCCGGGAAGCCAGGGGCAGCGGAGCACGCGGAGCACGCGAGGGUGGAACGAGGGGCGUCCGAGAGCCUGUCCCCGACUGCGGCGCCCGCGCCACGUUGAGGGCGCUCCUAACUUGGUUUCGCGUGCACGUUUCGGUUAACGUGCAAGAACAGCAGAGGCCCGCGGGCAGCCGGAGGGAGGCGGGUGCGGGGGCCUGAAGGGUCGCGAGAGGUGCCCCCACCCCCACCCCCGCCCCUGGGGUCCGCGGGGAGCCCCGCACGGGGGAAGGCCCGGUGCCUGCCCGCCCCGCGGCGGAAGCGGGCCGAAGCCUCCCCCCACCUCGCAGGAGAGGGGCGCUGGGCGGGGUCGCUGAAUGUGUAUGUGACUCAGAGCUUUUUACUUUUUUUUUUUUCAAUUUUUAUUCAUUUAUGAUAGUCACAGAGAGAGAGAGACAGAGAGAGACAGGCAGAGGGAGAAGCAGGCUCCAUGCAGGGAGCCCGACGUGGGAUUCGAUCCCGGGUCUCCAGGAUCGCGCCCUGGGCCAAAGGCAGGCGCCAAACCGCUGCACCACCCAGGGAUCCCCAGAGCUUUUUACUUGUAUUCGGAGUUCUACAAUUCCAUUCGGAGUUCUACAAUUCCAUUCGAAUGUUCUUUGAGUAUACAAGCCGCGCAGCCUGCCCCUGCCGGGCGCCUGGGAAACAGCCAGGAUGGCCCUUGCCAUCCCCCCCGCCCCCGACCGCUUAAAUCCCGGAAGUUAAAAGCUUCUUUGCUUGGAGAUCUCAGCCCUCCUUUGCAGGAAAAACGAAAACAAGCAACCAACCAACGAAACAAAAGCAAACCUCCAAUUUUGUAAGCUCAUUACUCCUUCCCAAAGCUUUCUGAAAUAUCAACUCUAAGAACUCUUCAACUUUUCCUGCUUCUAACACACCAAGAAAAGACUCAUGUUUUACUCCAUACUACUCCCUCAACAGCUAAUGUAAAAUCAGAUAUGUUGUUCGGAGGAAGUCUGUUAAACAAUGUUUUGUUUUGUUUCUGACAAAAGGAUUUUCAGUUUAUCUAGAUUUCUUGGUAUUUUACAGCUUACAGGAGCUUAUUGACAUAUGAACUCAUUGUCUCACUUGCUUAUUGGAGAAACUAUAUAUUAAUUCUGGGAAUUUAAAAAUAAUUUAUUAAGAAACUAUUUGGCAUUAACCAGUACAACAAUGAAAUCAAGAAAGAAUAACUGUUUUACCCAUAAUAUUGAUAAGAACAUUGAGGCUUACAGAGGUAAGAUCCUUUUUCAAGCUCUCAUAGGCAGCGAUUUGAACUGAACGUUUGAACUCUGACAGCCUGACCCUAGAAUGCAUGUUGUGACAGCCCUAGAUGGCACUGGGUUCUUCUUACCCGCACCCUCCAGGGGUGCCCUCCCAGUCAGCACUUGCUGGUAACUCUCUCCUGCCUGCUCUUCCUCUUGACAGGAUGUGCCUUCUCUUUACUUGAGAGAGCACCACAUUCUUUAUCUCUUCUCUCAAGAUCACUUCUCCACCCAACCUGCCUCCAAAGCCAAAGAUUUACUAAAUGUGUCCUCAACAAGGUCACAGAUCACCUUCAUUUUGUCUGUUUUUCAGAAUACUCUCCAUAUAAGUUCAACUCCCAAUAUGCUGCUAUAACCUCAUUUCCUGCUCAUUUUCUCCAGAGCACUUCCCACCACCUAACAUGCACAUAUUUCUGGUUUCCUAGUUCUUCAUGAGGCAGAGGUUUGUAUUCAUUUUUUUUGAAUCCUGGGUACUGAGCAUCUAGAACAAUGCCCAGCACAUAGCAAGUACUCAGCGUGUAUUCGUUGAUGUAAUACAUAAUGACAAACUUAAUGAUAUAUCUGGUCCUUCAAUGUGAAUUGUCUGAAUAUAUUUAAUAUUGUUGAUCACUGCCUCCUUCUUGACACCCACUCAUCCUAGGCUUCUGAGGCAUGUUCUCCUGGAACUCCUAGAACCUUCUCUGACUACUCCUUCUCAUUUUCCCUCAUGUCUUUUUCUGUUUGUAAUAAUACUGAAAAUAUUAGUGUCCUCAGGGCUCCAUCAUCAAUCCUUUGCUUUUCUCAUUCUAAUUCUGUGCAUCCUCUGAGCAAAAUUAUAAGGACAUUCCUAUAGUUUCCAUGCAUAAACUACAGUCUUACAGAUAUACAAUGAAUGUGUAUCUAACUUUCCAGGCAGAACUUUUUCCUGAGCUGCACAUCAGGUCAAGGUAGCAAUGUUUACUUGUUAUCCUGUAUGUACUGAGAAUUAGCUUCUUACUGAGAUGAGAACUUACUAUCAGAACAUACAAAUGAGCAUGAUAAACUGUAAAUUAUUUUCUAGCAGGAGAUACCUGUAUUCGGGGCUAUACAAUUCCAUUUGAAUGUUCUUUGAAUAUACAAGUAAUUAAACACAUCCAGAAAAAAAUUCAA
Molecule: long non-coding RNA, 2549 nt
Organism: Canis lupus familiaris (dog)
Lineage: Eukaryota; Metazoa; Chordata; Mammalia; Carnivora; Canidae
Exons: 2
Source: RefSeq, a predicted model, not a curated record